UAGCUCAGUGGUUUGAGCAUUGGCCUGCUAAAUCUAGGGUUGUAAGUUCAAUCCUUGC
Molecule: transfer RNA, 58 nt
Filed under: Pelodiscus sinensis (Chinese soft-shelled turtle)
Lineage: Eukaryota; Metazoa; Chordata; Testudines; Trionychidae
Source: Rfam by way of RNAcentral